CCGCUCCUCCCCAGCCGGGGCUGCCCGGGCUCGUCUCCCUCGCCCCACCGCCGCAGGGGGGGAAGCGGCGGGGAGGCGGCAGGGGCGCUGCCCGCCACCCACGGCCGCCCGACGGGCUCCGCUCCGCGCCGCGGGAUGACGGUCGCACCCCCCUCCUCCAACGGUCACUGGCCCAACGAUCACCGGCCCCUCAGGAGCACCCCGCCCCUCCCCCGAGGCGACGGCCGCGGCUGCGAGGCGCCGUCCCGUGUCGGGGAGGCCGAGGAGGGUCUCGGCGCGGCCGCCCCCUCUCCGUCUCCCCCCGGCCGGCAGUGGGGAUGCGCCGCGACUCACCUGGGUGGGUAGGAGGAGCGCCAGGAGCAGGAGCCCCAGGCCGAGCCGCGCCGCCAGCGCCGUCCCCAUCGCCCGUCCGCUGCCGCCCCCGCUGCUGCCGCUGCUGCUGCUGCUGCUGCUGCCGCUGUGGCUGCGGGCGGGCGGGAUACACCGCCCAGCCGCGCCCGGGCUUUUUAUGGCAGCGCGGGCUGCCGUGCCGCCCCGCCACCGCCUUCCCUUCCCCUCCCCUCCUCCUCCUCCUCCUCCGCCCCCCGGCGCGGCCCCCUCCUCCGCUGCCCGCCGCCCCCACUCCGUGCCCGCCCCCCGCUCCGCGGGCCUCUGCCCCGCUGCUCUCGGCGGCGGCUGGGGGCGAUGGUCCCCGCCGAGGCCGGCGGGCCGACGGACGUUGCGCUCACCCUUCCCCGGUACUGCACUUCGGGCGGGCGGUUCCGUCUCUGCCAAGCGCCCGUUCCGCGCGCGGGCAAGUGGGCACCGGCGCAGCGCCGGGGAGGUGGAGUUGCAGCUUACUCUGGGGAAACGUUUAUGAAAACACCAGGCUUUUAUUUAAAAAAAAAAAGAAUCACCGGGGAGGAAAGGAAGGCUAAAGAGAGCCAGCAAAGCCUGAGAAGAAAAUAUCCACGUUCAGCACUGCAGACUUUACUCACCGCCUUCAGGAGCAGGACUGCAGGCUGCUGUUCAGUAGUUCCAGUGGACAUUGUUCAAGCUGGGUCUUGAGGCACAGGACACACUGCAGAACCAGAGACUGGGACUUAUAUUAGGCAAAAAUAUAUCAUUCUAAACCCAGCCCCACCUUUAUCAUUUCCAAAUCCCUGACAAAGCUCUAACUGUUUUGUAUUUCAGGGAAUAAAGGCUUUUUUUGCAAGCUGUA
Long non-coding RNA from Dromaius novaehollandiae (emu), 1201 nucleotides. RefSeq lists it as uncharacterized. The transcript is spliced from 2 exons. NCBI's taxonomy places the organism in Eukaryota, Metazoa, Chordata, Aves, Casuariiformes, Dromaiidae. The record is from RefSeq and is a predicted model, not a curated record.